RNAcentral lists this unclassified non-coding RNA (296 nucleotides) under Ilyonectria sp. Its description in RNAcentral is "partial contains 5.8S ribosomal RNA, internal transcribed spacer 2, and large subunit ribosomal RNA". The stretch from base 1 to 71 matches the Rfam family "5.8S ribosomal RNA", at positions 84 to 154 of the family's 154-position model. The record is from RNAcentral. Lineage: Eukaryota; Fungi; Ascomycota; Sordariomycetes; Hypocreales; Nectriaceae.
GUGAAUCAUCGAAUCUUUGAACGCACAUUGCGCCCGCCAGUAUUCUGGCGGGCAUGCCUGUUCGAGCGUCAUUUCAACCCUCAAGCCCCCGGGCUUGGUGUUGGAGAUCGGCGUGCCCCCCGGGGCGCGCCGGCUCCCAAAUAUAGUGGCGGUCUCGCUGUAGCUUCCUCUGCGUAGUAGCACACCUCGCACUGGAAAACAGCGUGGCCACGCCGUUAAACCCCCCACUUCUGAAAGGUUGACCUCGGAUCAGGUAGGAAUACCCGCUGAACUUAAGCAUAUCAAUAAGCGGAGGA